RNAcentral lists this ribosomal RNA (449 nucleotides) under uncultured Alphaproteobacteria bacterium. RNAcentral describes it as "bacterial SSU rRNA". It matches the Rfam family "Bacterial small subunit ribosomal RNA", at positions 527 to 978 of the family's 1533-position model. The record is from RNAcentral. Lineage: Bacteria; Pseudomonadati; Pseudomonadota; Alphaproteobacteria.
GAAGGGACCUACCGUAGUUCGGAAUUACUGGGCUUAAAGAGUUUGUAGGUGGUUAUUAAAGUUGGUGGUGAAAUCCCAGAGCUUAGCUCUGGAACUGCCAUCAAAACUUUUUAGCUAGAGUAUGAUAGAGGAAAGCAGAAUUUCUAGUGUAGAGGUGAAAUUCGUAGAUAUUAGAAAGAAUACCGAUUGCGAAGGCAGCUUUCUGGAUCAUCACUGACGCUGAGGAACGAAAGCAUGGGUAGCGAAGAGGAUUAGAUACCCUCGUAGUCCAUGCCGUAAACGAUGUGUGUUAGACGUUGGAAAUUUAUUUUCAGUGUCGCAGCGAAAGCAUUAAACACACCGCCUGGGGAGUACGACCGCAAGGGUAAAACUCAAAUGAAUUGACGGGGACCCGCACAAGUAGUGGAGCAUGCGGUUUAAUUCGAAGAUACGCGCAGAACCUUACCAAC